UACGUAGGGUGCGAGCGUUGUCCGGAAUUAUUGGGCGUAAAGGGCUCGUAGGCGGUUUGUCGCGUCGGGAGUGAAAACCUUGGGCUUAACUCAGGGCUUGCUUUCGAUACGGGCAGGCUAGAGGCUGGUAGGGGCAAGCGGAAUUCCUGGUGUAGCGGUGAAAUGCGCAGAUAUCAGGAGGAACACCGGUGGCGAAGGCGGCUUGCUGGGCCGGUUCUGACGCUGAGGAGCGAGAGCGUGGGGAGCGAACAGG
RNAcentral lists this ribosomal RNA (253 nucleotides) under uncultured bacterium. RNAcentral describes it as "partial 16S ribosomal RNA". It matches the Rfam family "Bacterial small subunit ribosomal RNA", at positions 524 to 776 of the family's 1533-position model. The record is from RNAcentral.